UACGUAGGGUGCAAGCGUUAAUCGGAAUUACUGGGCGUAAAGCGUGCGCAGGCGGUUUUGUAAGACAGGCGGGAAAUCCCCGGGCUCAACCUGGGAAUGGCGCUUGUGACUGCAAAGCUGGAGUGCGGCAGAGGGGGGUGGAAUUCCGCGUGUAGCAGUGAAAUGCGUAGAUAUGCGGAGGAACACCGAUGGCGAAGGCAAUCCCCUGGGCCUGCACUGACGCUCAUGCACGAAAGCGUGGGGAGCAAACAGG
Molecule: ribosomal RNA, 253 nt
Filed under: uncultured bacterium
Lineage: Bacteria
Description: partial 16S ribosomal RNA
Rfam family: Bacterial small subunit ribosomal RNA
Source: RNAcentral